GAUGAACGCUGGCGGCGUGCCUAAUACAUGCAAGUCGAGCGAACGGACGAGAAGCUUGCUUCUCUGAUGUUAGCGGCGGACGGGUGAGUAACACGUGGAUAACCUACCUAUAAGACUGGGAUAACUUCGGGAAACCGGAGCUAAUACCGGAUAAUAUUUUGAACCGCAUGGUUCAAAAGUGAAAGACGGUCUUGCUGUCACCUAUAGAUGGAUCCGCGCUGCAUUAGCUAGUUGGUAAGGUAACGGCUUACCAAGGCCACGAUGCAUAGCCGACCUGAGAGGGUGAUCGGCCACACUGGAACUGAGACACGGUCCAGACUCCUACGGGAGGCAGCAGUAGGGAAUCUUCCGCAAUGGGCGAAAGCCUGACGGAGCAACGCCGCGUGAGUGAUGAAGGUCUUCGGAUCGUAAAACUCUGUUAUUAGGGAAGAACAUAUGUGUAAGUAACUGUGCACAUCUUGACGGUACCUAAUCAGAAAGCCACGGCUAACUACGUG
RNAcentral lists this ribosomal RNA (497 nucleotides) under uncultured bacterium. RNAcentral's name for it is "partial 16S ribosomal RNA". It matches the Rfam family "Bacterial small subunit ribosomal RNA", at positions 28 to 507 of the family's 1533-position model. The record is from RNAcentral.